This is a non-coding RNA of Pelobates cultripes (western spadefoot toad), 382 nucleotides long. Lineage: Eukaryota; Metazoa; Chordata; Amphibia; Anura; Pelobatidae. The record is from the annotation of a GenBank genome assembly.
ACUAGAUGGGCCGAAUGGUUCUUACCUGCCGUCACAUUCUAUGUUUCUAUCCCAGCUGCCAGUACACUAGACCGUGUGCAAGGGAGCAGUACAGGAGCAGCAUGAAAAAUACAGAGCGCCUUUGCCGCCAAACACCCCUCUGUAUUUUUGGGCAGAGUAGACACCGACAGUGCUGGUUGCCACUAUUCUCUAAUAUUAAUUUCUCUCAAUUAUUCUUUAACCGUUAGUUAAUGCUUAUUGAUUCUUAAUAGACUUGAUUCAUUUAUAGACCCAAACUGGUGAGACUUUGAAAUGUUCUUCAAGGGACUACUAUGGCUCAAAAUGCAUGAAGGAGUACUUGUUCUGAAUUUAACCCUUCUCUAUUUUUGUUUUUCUACAUUAC